UGGGGAAUCUUGCGCAAUGGGGGAAACCCUGACGCAGCAACGCCGCGUGAGUGAUGAAGGCCUUCGGGUUGUAAAGCUCUGUCGAGUGGGGCGAAAACUGUUGGGUAAAUAAUCCAACAGUAUGACGGUACCACUAAAGGAAGCACCGGCUAACUCUGUGCCAGCAGCCGCGGUAAGACAGAGGGUGCAAGCGUUGUUCGGAAUUACUGGGCGUAAGGCGCAUGUAGGCGGUGUAGCAUGUCAGGUGUGAAAUCCCAUGGCUCAACCAUGGAAGUGCAUUUGAAACUGCUAUGCUAGAGUUCAGAAGAGGAAGGUGGAAUUCCUGGUGUAGAGGUGAAAUUCGUAGAUAUCAGGAGGAACACCCGUGGCGAAGGCGGCCUUCUGGUCUGUUACUGACGCUGAGAUGCGAAAGCGUGGGGAGCAAACAGG
This 429-nucleotide ribosomal RNA is filed under the name uncultured bacterium. RNAcentral's name for it is "bacterial SSU rRNA". It matches the Rfam family "Bacterial small subunit ribosomal RNA", at positions 355 to 776 of the family's 1533-position model. The record is from RNAcentral.